This 301-nucleotide ribosomal RNA is filed under the name uncultured bacterium. RNAcentral describes it as "partial 16S ribosomal RNA". It matches the Rfam family "Bacterial small subunit ribosomal RNA", at positions 509 to 807 of the family's 1533-position model. The record is from RNAcentral.
CAGCCGCCGCGGUAAUACGUAGGUGGCAAGCGUUGUCCGGAACUAUUGGGCGUAAAGGGCUCGCAGGCGGUUUCUUAAGUCUGAUGUGAAAGCCCCCGGCUCAACCGGGGAGGGUCAUUGGAAACUGGGAAACUUGAGUGCAGAAGAGGAGAGUGGAAUUCCACGUGUAGCGGUGAAAUGCGUAGAGAUGUGGAGGAACACCAGUGGCGAAGGCGACUCUCUGGUCUGUAACUGACGCUGAGGAGCGAAAGCGUGGGGAGCGAACAGGAUUAGAUACCCCGGUAGUCCCUGUCUCUUAUAC